Nannospalax galili (Upper Galilee mountains blind mole rat) is the source of this 605-nucleotide RNA transcript. It is a transcript of the gene named actin-related protein 2/3 complex subunit 4 pseudogene, with no coding region annotated. NCBI's taxonomy places the organism in Eukaryota, Metazoa, Chordata, Mammalia, Rodentia, Spalacidae. The transcript has a single exon. The record is from RefSeq and is a predicted model, not a curated record.
AUGGAGGACCCUAAAAAUAAUCAAACCUUAAAAAUAGAUCUAUCCCACACUUCUGCUUUCCCGCCAGCCAGCACCUGCUAUGACUGCCACUUUCUGCCCCAUCUUAGUGCUGUGCGGGCCACGCUGCAGGCUGCCCUCUGCCUGGAGAACUUCUCCUCCCAGGUCGUGGAAGAGCACAAUAAGCCAGAGGUGGAAGUCAGGAGUAGCAAAGAGCUCCUAUUGCUACCUGUUACCAUCAGCAGGAAUGAGAAGGAAAAGGUGCUAAUUGAAGGCUCUAUCAAUUCUGUGCGGGUCAGCAUUGCUGUGAAACAGGCUGAUGAGAUCCAGAAGAUUUUAUGCCCUAAGUUCAUGCGCUUCAAUGAUGAUGCGAGCAGAGGAUUUCUUUACCCGCAGAGGAUUUCUUUACCCUUCGAAGGAAACCAGUGGAGGGUUAUGACGUCAGCUUUCUGAUCACCAACUUCCACACAGAGCAGAUGUACAAACACAAGUUGAUGGACUUUGUGAUCCACUUCGUGGAGGAGACUGACAAAGAGAUCAGUGAGAUGAAGCUGUCAGUCAAUGCCCAAGCCCGCAUUGUGGCUGAAGAAUUUCCCAGGAAUUUUUAA